GAUGAACGCUGGCGGCGUGCCUAAUACAUGCAAGUCGAACGAACGGACGUUAAACUAAUACGACUGAAUCCUAGGGGGGAAGGGGGGAGUAAACGGUUGGAACCUACCCCCAAGGUUGGGAAAAACAGUCGAAACGGGUGCCAAUAACGGCAAGUAGUUUUCACGUCAAGGGACAGAAAACAAAAGGAGCAAUUCGCUUACUGAGAGACGGGUGCGCGAUCAGUUAGCUGGUUGGUAAGGGAACCGCUCACCAAGGGAACGAUGCCUAGCCGAACUGAGAGGAUGACCGGCCACGCUGCAACUGAGACACGGUCCAGAAUCCUACGGGAGGCAGCAGUCGUGAACCUUCCGCAAUGGGCGGAAGCCUGACGGAGCCACGCCGCGUGAGUGAUGAAGGGCUUCGGAUCGUAAACUACUGUCAUCAGGGAGGAAUAGAGUUGUUUUUAGACGUGUGCACAUUGACGGUACCCAAUGAAUAAGCAACGGCUAACUACGUG
Molecule: ribosomal RNA, 497 nt
Filed under: uncultured bacterium
Lineage: Bacteria
Description: partial 16S ribosomal RNA
Rfam family: Bacterial small subunit ribosomal RNA
Source: RNAcentral